UAUUAGCAGAUCACCGUCACAAGCUUUCUCCCACUCUCCACUUUCCCCUCUCCAUUUCUUCUUCAUUACCGCCUCCAUUACUCCCUUUCUUCCUCUGUUUUCACUUUCUUUCUUUUUCAUCACCCUGAUCAUCAUCAUUCAGAAAUAAAAAAUUACACCCAACCAACUCCACUUCUCCAUUUUUUCCUUCUUUGAAAGCCUACCUUUUCGUUUCUUCUUUCUUCCUUUACCCACCGGACCAAAAGGUCCAAAACAGAAAAAUGCAGAUGAUUCCUUUGUCUCACAUUUUUCUCCUCACUUCCCAAUUAAUGGCCGAUCCCUGCCAAACUCUCUCUUCGUCGUCCAAAAACAAGAAAGGGGGAACAAGGAUGAAGGGGGAGGAUGUUUGAUUCAUCUCAACCAUCUGCAUCAUUUUGACCAAAUAUAAUCGUGGUAAAGGAGAAAGGAAAAAGUUCUGUUAAUUUUUGUUUUCCUUCCAUAUAUCAAAAGUUAGGAUAACAAAGAUGCAAAUGUCUCACUAUUGCAGCCCCUAUUUUCUUGGGAUGAAAAUAAGAAGCAAAUGAAGUUGAAAAGGAGGCAUCGAAGCUACACUGAGAUGAAAAGGGGCAAUAAUUGCCAAGAAAAUCUGAAGGUGAAACUAUCCGAAUUAAUGUGAAGAACAAACCUUCUAGUGGAACAGGCAUGCUUUCAGCUGCAGGAUUGUUAAGUGGACAUCCUGGAACUGUAAAGGCCAAAACUCUAAGCAUAGCACCACCCCCCAGUGGAGGAGUGAGGAUUCAGUCUCCUCUCCGACCCCCUCCCAAUGAUUCAGCAGCUGCUAGGAUGACUUUGGGAAGGCAUAAUACUACUCUUAAGGGGCCUAAGGAAGUUGGUAGACAUUCUGCUGAUCCACUGGCAAAUCUGUCACAACUGGAGAAGAAUCCUCCUACAACCACUGGAACAGGUUCUAAGAAGUCCACUGGACCACUGCAGCUGGAUGGGCUGCUUUUUUAUCAUGUUAGCAUUUGACUGUUGGUGGUUCGGAUCUUUGUCUCCUGUUGUAUUUAACAAGAUGAGAAAAAUUGAAAAGAAAAUUCAUAACUGAAGGAAUUUCAAUAUGUACUCCAUCUUUGGAGGAAUAAUUAUUCUCGAAAUGUGUUGAUAUCGUUCUUUUGACAUACUUGGACUGCUGAUCUCAAAUUUAUAUAUGUAUAACACAAGAUAAUUCUCUUUCCUGGGUUUCUGCCCCAAUGUUUGUUUUUCUCCAA
Molecule: non-coding RNA, 1247 nt
Organism: Coffea arabica (coffee)
Lineage: Eukaryota; Viridiplantae; Streptophyta; Magnoliopsida; Gentianales; Rubiaceae
Source: RefSeq, a predicted model, not a curated record